RNAcentral lists this transfer RNA (63 nucleotides) under Campylobacter jejuni. Its description in RNAcentral is "tRNA-Asp". It matches the Rfam family "tRNA", at positions 6 to 65 of the family's 71-position model. Rfam says of the family: Transfer RNA (tRNA) molecules are approximately 80 nucleotides in length. Their secondary structure includes four short double-helical elements and three loops (D, anti-codon, and T loops). The record is from RNAcentral. Lineage: Bacteria; Pseudomonadati; Campylobacterota; Epsilonproteobacteria; Campylobacterales; Campylobacteraceae.
GGUAGUUCAGCUGGUUAGAAUGCCGCCCUGUCACGGCGGAGGUCGCGGGUUCGAGCCCCGUCC